CACGUGUGCACACCUGCACACUGCAGAUCAAUCCUCGCUCCGACAGAGCCUCAAAUUAAGCACAUAAAAAAAAACCUGACCAAAACCGUUGUGGCUUAGUUCUCAUAAAAUCCCUGUCAAUCCCUGAUCAGGUCUCUGCUGCAGCGUCGCUGACAUGACGCUCUAAUGUCACUAAUCUCUUAAAGGGGUAGUGAACUGAAUUUUCUGUCUGCAUACUUUUAAUCUUUGAACGUUAAAUUGCUGUUUUAACAUUUUUAAUAUUUUUAAUUCUGAUGAAUAAACUUCAUUAAAUGAA
Silurus meridionalis is the source of this 295-nucleotide long non-coding RNA. RefSeq lists it as uncharacterized. The record is from RefSeq and is a predicted model, not a curated record. The transcript is spliced from 2 exons. Lineage: Eukaryota; Metazoa; Chordata; Actinopteri; Siluriformes; Siluridae.